GAGAUACCCUUAUGGGGCAGGACUUGCUUCAGUGUGGCUUUGGUGCUCACUGAGUCUGCCUGUUGAGUGUGUCACU
Molecule: microRNA precursor, 76 nt
Filed under: Myotis lucifugus (little brown bat)
Lineage: Eukaryota; Metazoa; Chordata; Mammalia; Chiroptera; Vespertilionidae
Description: mir-9229 microRNA precursor family
Rfam family: mir-9229 microRNA precursor family
Source: Rfam by way of RNAcentral